RNAcentral lists this long non-coding RNA (1342 nucleotides) under Chrysemys picta bellii (western painted turtle). RNAcentral's name for it is "lncRNA (ENSCPBG00000016677.1)". The record is from RNAcentral. Lineage: Eukaryota; Metazoa; Chordata; Testudines; Emydidae.
AUGGUAACUAGCAAAGUGUACUGUUUUGAAAUCUGCUUGGAUCUGGUUCUUAGUUCUCUUUUAACUGAGAAACCAAAGACAAUUUUAAAAAAAAGUUAUUUUGUUAAGAGAGAGAGAGAGGUCACUUCAGCAUGGAGGAUCAAACAGCUAGCCUCCUCCAGCUCUGAAAGAGUUAGAUUUCACUCUCAAGUUGUGGCAUCAUCAUUAACUCUGAAAAAUGUCACACUCCAUUUGUACAAAGAAAAUUUCAUGAGCAGUCAUUGUGAGGACAAAGUUGAAACAGGCUGGAUCCUAAAAUCUAACUGUUUAUUUCACACGGUAUCAAAGUCAUUCAUCUUGUUCCUUAGGAGGCAAAUUCACAAUGGUAGGGACCUCAAACCACAAACAGAUCUAUUUUGUUGCACCUUGCUUGAAUCAGGAUCAGAGUGGGUUGAUAAGAAAAUGUCACCUUUAUUGAGUAUAGCCCAAUUAUGAUGAUUUUGCUAUUUAGUCAUUGUUAAGCUGGGAACAUCCAAAAUCAGCAUUUCUCAAACUGUGAGGCUUGAAUCUUGUUCAGUUGCUCAGACAAGCCACUGGAAAACGGGGGAUAGGAUUGGGCCAGAGAAAAGGACUUCUUCCCCCUCCCAUUAUGACUUGACAAAACUAUAGCUCCUAGUAUUCAAUACUGAUCAUGUACAACCUAGCAGAAGAUCUUUGCUUUGCUGAACCCAAGAAAGACUAAAGUGUCCUCAUGUUUAAAACUGGUCCAACACAAAGCAUCAUUGGUAGUCCCUGGAGAAGAUCUCCCACUCCCACCCAAUUGGGCCAAUGUAGUUUUUUUCCAACAGAUAAAUGAUGGGAUUGGUGGAUGCAGAAUCUACCUCCUGCUGCUUAUGAAUUAGAUGAAAACAAGAAUUUGUUUCCGUUUAUAUUGUCAGUUUUUCCAGGUAAACAUACAGUACCAAUCCAAAAUCAGCCACAUAUGAAGCACAUACAGCACUUGAUUAAAUCUCUGUGUCCCCAACCAACAUGAAAUAAGAUGUUUUUCACUAUUCUCAUAAAAAAACUCAAAGCCUUUGCAGCUUCAUUCAAGCAAAAGAGAGGCUGUGAAUUUUGGGUGUUGGGAGGUGGGGGCAGAAGUGCAAGAAUAACAAAACCUUCAUUUUGAAGCAAUUCAGUUUUAAUUACAAAAGGGAUUCAAAUUUCACAAUAUUUUAGAAGUCAAAAUAAGGGAGAAGCAAGUUUAUCAGUCAAGUCAAACCCAUAUCUUGACUGCUUUUUAGCACAACGAGACCAGGCAAUUUUGUAUGUUAAUUAAAGCAACUGCAGUAGGCAAUAGCCACAUUUUAACUGACCAAGGGGA